UGUAAAGUAGAACAGCAGGUGGAGGGGACCCUGCAGGGAAGCCACUGAGCGCCAGACAGCAGGGCGCGUCCACGGGCGCGCGCACUGCCGGGAGGGGCCGGCAUCAGUCACCAUCCCAGUCGGGCAGCUUCAGGCUGGAAAGCUGUGUCAGGGCGAGAGACAUUUUAUUCCUAGUGGUGAGGAGCCCUGUGGCGGCCAGGCCGUACUGGCCUUGGCGUCACUGAGGUGAAUCCGGGCUACUGGGGAGCGCUGGGGACCUGUGCUUCCCUGAACUUGGUCUUUGAGCUGAGAGGGAAAGGUAACACAGGCUGGAGGUAAGAUGCUGAUGAUUUGUUUCUCUGAGAUCCAAAUGCUGAGCAAAGGAAAGCAGGUAGCAAAAGCUCAGACAGGCAUCAUGGGGGCGUCUCCAGAAAGGGCUGGGAACGUCUGGAAGCAAGCAUUCCCCACUAUCUCGUGCACCCUGUCAGCUUCCCUGACAGAGUGGGGCCUGGCAGAGGCUCAUCCGCGUGACAGGUGACUCGCCCACAGCUGUGUUUGCCUGGGGCCUGAUGUGGCGUCUUCUCAUCCAGUGUGGCCCUCUGUGGGGAUCAAGACGGCUGGCAGCGUUAAACAGAAAAAGGUGCUCUGCUUUGGCUGAGCCACUGCCUCUUUCCUGAAGAGGAGCCGCCCACCCUCGCUCCAGCGUGUAGCUAAACUCCCGGGAGACUGGGCGCGAAGGGCACACUGUGACACACCCAUCCUUGUCACAGCUGCGCCUGCCGGGCCGUGAUGAGUGAAGUGCUGUGGCCAGGUCUGCUGGGUACACAGCUGCUGCUCCCCACUGACUCCCUUGACCCCCAAAUCCUGGGGCCUCAGAGAACCUUCGGCCUCUGCUCCAGCUGCUGUCACCAGAGCAGAGCAGGCUCAGCCUUGUCCCAGGAAUGUGAUGCAGAAGGAAUGUGAUGCUCUCUGGGUAAAACGAGGUAUGGGACUGACUAGCCCCACAGCACCCAACCACCGGGCUCAGCUGCGGAGGCUCGUGUCGGCCCUGGGGCUCGAGGCUCCCCCUGGGGUCCCUUCCCCCGCAAUCCGUGGAUGCCAGCUGCAGUGCCCAUGUUUCCAGCCAUCCCAGCUCGACAUGGAGCUCCCUGGACAUAGCAGCUGGCUGGGGGUCCAGAGGGUCCUGCCCUCUCCCAGCAUCCCCAGUCCUCAUUGGAGCAGCCUUCUUCCAAGGUGCAGAAUCAAGCGUCCUGCAUCUGCCAUGAGGAAGACUGACGGUGGCUGUGCUGGGGGUUCCUAGGAAAGAACAGCCAAGCCCUGGGGCCAGCCGGGCAGGGGGCUGGAAAACCCUGCUGACAUUGCAUCUGUCUCCCGAGCUGUCUCGGGGCCAGUCCUGUCUCCACAGGCUGCAUUCCGACUCCUGUCACAGUGAGGAGAGGUUUCCUGUGUGUGGCACUUCCUAGCUGGACAGCUGAGACCAGCACAGAGGCAUCAGGGAGCCGGAUGGGGAGUGAACGGCGCUGGUGGGACCCAUGAACGUCUGCGGGCCUACGCUCUGUGCAGGUGCUGAGGUGGGCGCAGGGGCUGCUUCUGUGUCCAGGGACUUGUGCUCAGUGACCGAGCAUAACAGGAGAGGCCUUCAGGGCAGGACAGACCUGCAGAUGCUCUGGGUGAUGGGGAGGACUUCUGAGCGGCUCUCCUCCCGUCCCUGGGUCCAGCAGUCACCUGCAUCGCUGCACCCGGCUGUGGUCACAGGAAACCGAAUCACUGCUCCUGGAGACCAAAGGCUUUCAUGGGAAAUGAGAUCCUGCCAGCCUUGGUUCUCAGGCGAACCCACAGAACAGUUAGUAUUUACUGUCUGAAUCCACGACUCCCUGAGUCUUCAUCCAUGCACCCAGAAGUGCUGGCCUUCAAGCGUGGCUUUGCCCUCGCUGAACCCUAAAGGGCAGCAGGGCGCAGGCACCUCCACACCCACCCAGGGCUGGGAGUCUCUGUGUGGCACAGUGGCCAGGGCAGGUGUGGCUGUGGGCCUGUGGAAAUGAAGGGACCCCUUUCCCAGUCUGAAGAAGGUUGGUUCAGAGCCCAGUUUUCAAAAGCCCCUUUUUCUCCGGAGUAAGAACACUUCUUUUCCUCAUGGCCCUGUGCCAUCUCCCAGGACUUGGCAAGCCCAGGCCUCCCGUGCCAGGAGAGUGUGUGGCUGAGUCCCAGGACCAACACCACUGAUGGAGCCAGUGGGUCACAGCCACCCUGGAGGCUCAAGGACGCCGGCCACUGAGUGAGCCCAGCUGGCCAACAGGAAGGGGCUAUCAUGCACCCUUUGAUAAAACCUGGCCCGGUCCCUGACCAGCUGACACCCUGCUCGGACCCGGGUGUGUCCUUAGGCUCCAGCAGUGAUGCAGACACAUAAACCACCACAAACCUCCCGGUGUUGCUUGCUGACCAAACACGUGCACUAUCGUAGGGGGCAGAGUUAUUAUUAUAAUUAUUCUUACUGAGGUCCUGCGUCCUGCUCUGUUUUGACUUAUCGGGAAGACUUUUUACACUUGAUCUUAGCCAAAAGGCUGAGAAGCGAUUUUUUUUGUGUGCUUUUUUUUUUUUUUUUUUUUGGUACUGGGGAUCAAACUUGGGACCUUGUCCUUGCAAGGCAGGUGCCAGAACCACUGAGCUAAAUCCCCGGCCCGGGAAGACUUUUUAAUGUUCAUGUUAAGAUUUCCCUACUUUCUUCAUCGUAGUUCACAAUACUGAAGACACAGAAGCAACCUAGGCGCCCAUGAAUGGAGGAGCAGGUAAAGAGGAUACGUACACACACACACACACACACACACGGAGGAGUAUCAUACAGCCCUGAAAAAGAAGGCAGUGCUCUCAUCAGCAACCGCAUGGACUGAACUGUUGGGCGUUACACUAAGUGAAGUCAGCCAGGAGCAGAAAGACAAAUACUGUGGACCCUUGACUUACAAACUCAAUUUGUUCCCGAGGACUGGUUGUGACUCAAGUUCAUCGGUGAAGCCUCAGGCUCCUCUACACAGCCUUCAGAGUCUGUCUCCUGGCAGAUCCCAGUGUCCUUAGAGAGACACUGGGCCAGGAUUUCUCAACCCCACACAGGUGAGGACGGGUGCCGUGGAGCCCCUGAAAGCUCUGCUCUGUCGGUGAAUUGUGCAGCCCAGCUCAGCGUCUUCGCAGGCUCUGCCUCUGGGAGGUAAUGAAAAUUGGACCAUUCUUCGCACUCAGGAACACAUUUUCCUUCAGUCAUCAGAAGGUGAGAUUCAUUUAAGUCAUCAGAGACUGGAGGCGGUGCCAUUAUAUCUUCAAAUCUGCAAGUUAGUCAGCUGGGGUGGCCUCCUCCUGAUUAUGUGUGUCUCUAAUCCACUGUCAUCAUCUUGGAAAACCAGGUUGAGUCUUUUGAGGGCAGCAGCCAGAGGAGCAAAGAGAAAACCAAAAGACUCAGGAAAAACAUAUAUGGAUUCACCCUGAAGAACCAAUGAGUCUGAGUUUUAUUUUUUCCCUAGCUAAUUCCUGUGGGGCAGAACUGAGGAAUAUUAGGUAUGAGGGCUUUUCUUUGGUACUGGGGAUUGAACUCGGGACCCUGCACUUGCCAGGCAGGCUCAGCGCCACUGAGCUACAUCCCGGCCCAGAACGGAGGAGUAUUAAUGGGAUGAGUAACAAGUAGGUUAGCAGCAAACGCCUUUCUGGAAUUACCCUCAAGCCUAGACAGUGUGUUUGUCCGUCUUUGGGUACGAUGCUCACGACAGCACAGAC
Long non-coding RNA from Heterocephalus glaber (naked mole-rat), 3738 nucleotides. The record is from Ensembl. NCBI's taxonomy places the organism in Eukaryota, Metazoa, Chordata, Mammalia, Rodentia, Bathyergidae.